This 318-nucleotide ribosomal RNA is filed under the name Pseudomonas nunensis. RNAcentral describes it as "partial 23S ribosomal RNA". It matches the Rfam family "Bacterial large subunit ribosomal RNA", at positions 1250 to 1564 of the family's 2925-position model. The record is from RNAcentral. Lineage: Bacteria; Pseudomonadati; Pseudomonadota; Gammaproteobacteria; Pseudomonadales; Pseudomonadaceae.
UUGAAGCAUGAUCGCAAGGACAUGUGGAGCGCUUAGAAGUGAGAAUGCCGGUGUGAGUAGCGAAAGACGGGUGAGAAUCCCGUCCACCGAUUGACCAAGGUUUCCAGAGGAAGGCUCGUCCGCUCUGGGUUAGUCGGGUCCUAAGCUGAGGCCGACAGGCGUAGGCGAUGGAUAACAGGUUGAUAUUCCUGUACCACCAAUAAUCGUUUUAAGCGAUGGGGGGGACGCAGUAGGAUAGGCGAAGCGUACGAUUGGAUUGCACGUCCAAGCAGUGAGAUUGAGUGUUAGGCAAAUCCGGCACUCUUAAGAUUGAGCUGU